CGCGUAGGCGGGAUAACAAGUCAGGUGUGAAAUCCGGGGGCUCAACCCUCGAACUGCACUUGAAACUGUUAUUCUUGAGUGAUGGAGAGGCAAGUGGAAUUCCUAGUGUAGCGGUGAAAUGCGUAGAUAUUAGGAGGAACACCAGUGGCGAAGGCGACUUGCUGGACAUUAACUGACGCUGAGGCGCGAAAGCGUGGGGAGCAAACA
RNAcentral lists this ribosomal RNA (207 nucleotides) under uncultured bacterium. RNAcentral's name for it is "partial 16S ribosomal RNA". It matches the Rfam family "Bacterial small subunit ribosomal RNA", at positions 568 to 774 of the family's 1533-position model. The record is from RNAcentral.